AUUGAACGCUGGCGGCAGGCCUAACACAUGCAAGUCGAGCGGAUGAAGGGAGCUUGCUCCUGGAUUCAGCGGCGGACGGGUGAGUAAUGCCUAGGAAUCUGCCUGGUAGUGGGGGAUAACGUCCGGAAACGGGCGCUAAUACCGCAUACGUCCUGAGGGAGAAAGUGGGGGAUCUUCGGACCUCACGCUAUCAGAUGAGCCUAGGUCGGAUUAGCUAGUUGGUGGGGUAAAGGCCUACCAAGGCGACGAUCCGUAACUGGUCUGAGAGGAUGAUCAGUCACACUGGAACUGAGACACGGACCAGACUCCUACGGGAGGCAGCAGUGGGGAAUAUUGGACAAUGGGCGAAAGCCUGAUCCAGCCAUGCCGCGUGUGUGAAGAAGGUCUUCGGAUUGUAAAGCACUUUAAGUUGGGAGGAAGGGCAGUAAGUUAAUACCUUGCUGUUUUGACGGUACCAACAGAAUAAGCACCGGCUAACUUCGUG
RNAcentral lists this ribosomal RNA (484 nucleotides) under uncultured bacterium. RNAcentral describes it as "partial 16S ribosomal RNA". It matches the Rfam family "Bacterial small subunit ribosomal RNA", at positions 30 to 507 of the family's 1533-position model. The record is from RNAcentral.